UAGCAGCUUUAAACUGAAGAGUUUGAUCCUGGCUCAGAUUGAACGCUGGCGGCAUGCCUAACACAUGCAAGUCGAACGGUAGCAGGGGCUUCGGCCCGCUGACGAGUGGCGGACGGGUGAGUAACGCGUAGGAAUCUACCCAGUAGCGGGGGAUAGCUCGGGGAAACUCGGAUUAAUACCGCAUACGUCCCUUGUCAUAUCGAUAAGGGGGAAAGCAGGGGACCUUUUAGACCUUGCACUAUUGGAUGAGCCUACGUCUGAUUAGCUAGUUGGUAGAGUAAAAGCCUACCAAGGCAACGAUCAGUAGCUGGUCUGAGAGGACGAUCAGCCACACUGGGACUGAGACACGG
Molecule: ribosomal RNA, 350 nt
Filed under: Gammaproteobacteria bacterium
Lineage: Bacteria; Pseudomonadati; Pseudomonadota; Gammaproteobacteria
Description: bacterial SSU rRNA
Rfam family: Bacterial small subunit ribosomal RNA
Source: RNAcentral